CCAGACUCCUACGGGAGGCAGCAGUGGGGAAUAUUGCACAAUGGGGGAAACCCUGAUGCAGCAACGCCGCGUGGGUGAAGGAGCGUUUCGGCGCGUAAAGCCCUGUCAGCGGGGAAGAAGAAAGACGGUACCCGACCAAGAAGCCCCGGCUAACUACGUGCCAGCAGCCGCGGUAAUACGUAGGGAGCGAGCGUUGUCCGGAAUUACUGGGUGUAAAGGGAGCGUAGGCGGGCUUGUAAGUUGAAUGUCUAAUCCACCGGCUCAACCGGUGAUCGCGUUCAAAACUGCAGGUCUUGAGUGAAGUAGAGGCAGGCGGAAUUCCUAGUGUAGCGGUGAAAUGCGUAGAUAUUAGGAGGAACACCAGUGGCGAAGGCGGCCUGCUGGGCUUUAACUGACGCUGAGGCUCGAAAGCGUGGGGAGCAAACAGGAUUAGAUACCCCGGUA
RNAcentral lists this ribosomal RNA (444 nucleotides) under uncultured bacterium. RNAcentral describes it as "bacterial SSU rRNA". It matches the Rfam family "Bacterial small subunit ribosomal RNA", at positions 331 to 792 of the family's 1533-position model. The record is from RNAcentral.